This 468-nucleotide ribosomal RNA is filed under the name uncultured bacterium. RNAcentral's name for it is "partial 16S ribosomal RNA". It matches the Rfam family "Bacterial small subunit ribosomal RNA", at positions 28 to 507 of the family's 1533-position model. The record is from RNAcentral.
GACGAACGCUGGCGGCGUGCUUAACACAUGCAAGUCGAACGGAAAGGCCCUGCUUUUGUGGGGUGCUCGAGUGGCGAACGGGUGAGUAACACGUGAGUAACCUGCCCUUGACUUUGGGAUAACUUCAGGAAACUGGGGCUAAUACCGGAUAGGAGCUCCUGCUGCAUGGUGGGGGUUGGAAAGUUUCGGCGGUUGGGGAUGGACUCGCGGCUUAUCAGCUUGUUGGUGGGGUAGUGGCUUACCAAGGCUUUGACGGGUAGCCGGCCUGAGAGGGAGACCGGCCACAUUGGGACUGAGAUACGGCCCAGACUCCUACGGGAGGCAGCAGUGGGGAAUAUUGCACGAUGGGCGGAAGCCUGAUGCAGCAACGCCGCGUGCGGGAUGACGGCCUUCGGGUUGUAAACCGCUUUCGCCUGUGACGAAGCGUGAGUGACGGUAAUGGGUAAAGAAGCACCGGCUAACUACGUG